RNAcentral lists this ribosomal RNA (253 nucleotides) under uncultured bacterium. RNAcentral's name for it is "partial 16S ribosomal RNA". It matches the Rfam family "Bacterial small subunit ribosomal RNA", at positions 524 to 776 of the family's 1533-position model. The record is from RNAcentral.
UACGUAGGUGACCAGCGUUGUCCGGAUUUACUGGGCGUAAAGAGCGCGCAGGCGGUCGUUCAAGUCGAGUGUGAAAGCCCCCGGCUCAACUGGGGAGGGUCACUCGAUACUGAUCGACUUGAAGGCAGGAGAGGGAAGCGGAAUUCCCGGUGUAGCGGUGAAGUGUGUAGAGAUCGGGAGGAACACCGGUGGCGAAGGCGGGUCUCUGGGCAAUUCCUGACGCUGAGGCGCGAAAGCGUGGGGAGCAAACGGG